UUUUAUUUGAGAGUUUGAUCCUGGCUCAGGAUGAACGCUGGCGGCGUGCCUAACACAUGCAAGUUGAGCGAUUUACGUCGGUAAAGAGCGGCGGACGGGUGAGUAACGCGUGGGUAACCUACCCUGUACACACGGAUAACAUACCGAAAGGUAUGCUAAUACGGGAUAAUAUAUUUGAGAGGCAUCUCUUGAAUAUCAAAGGUGAGCCAGUACAGGAUGGACCCGCGUCUGAUUAGCUAGUUGGUAAGGUA
RNAcentral lists this ribosomal RNA (251 nucleotides) under Clostridioides difficile. RNAcentral describes it as "partial 16S ribosomal RNA". It matches the Rfam family "Bacterial small subunit ribosomal RNA", at positions 1 to 259 of the family's 1533-position model. The record is from RNAcentral. Lineage: Bacteria; Bacillati; Bacillota; Clostridia; Peptostreptococcales; Peptostreptococcaceae.